GUCGGGAGUCUUGCACAAUGGGCGCAAGCCUGAUCCAGCCAUGCCGCGUGCAGGAAGACGCAUCUAUGGUGUGUAAACUGCUUUUGUACGGGAAGAAACACUCCCUCGUGAGGGAGCUUGACGGUACCGUAAGAAUAAGGAUCGGCUAACUCCGUGCCAGCAGCCGCGGUAAUACGGAGGAUCCAAGCGUUAUCCGGAAUCAUUGGGUUUAAAGGGUCCGUAGGCGGUUUAAUAAGUCAGUGGUGAAAGCCCAUCGCUCAACGAUGGAACGGCCAUUGAUACUGUUAGACUUGAAUUACAAGGAAGUAACUAGAAUAUGUAGUGUAGCGGUGAAAUGCUUAGAUAUUACAUGGAAUACCAAUUGCGAAGGCAGGUUACUACUUGUGGAUUGACGCUGAUGGACGAAAGCGUGGGGAGCGAACAGGAUUAGAAACCCGAGUAGUCC
This 445-nucleotide ribosomal RNA is filed under the name uncultured bacterium. RNAcentral describes it as "partial 16S ribosomal RNA". It matches the Rfam family "Bacterial small subunit ribosomal RNA", at positions 354 to 796 of the family's 1533-position model. The record is from RNAcentral.